AAACAGUGGAUCUGGAGGGACUAACUUCAAAAGAAAGGCAAGAGGGAGCUGGUGUGAAGUAUGAGCAGGAAGGAGAGAUGAGAAACCCGUGGUCUUCUGAUAAGGAACCAGAGACAGUAUCCAUAGAAGCCAAUGAGUGGAAGAGAGCAGCCUCACAUGAUCAUUAGCACCACUUCUGGACUGUGAGUAGAGUAUUCUCAGUUGGGUCAUUCCACGAAAAGAGGGCCUUUUGCAUCCCUUUGAUAUUUUAAGUAGAAAUUCUGCACCAAUAUUGAAUUUAAAAGCCUGCUAUAUUAAGUGCCCUGGAGAAUUCAAUUAAUCUGAUUUUUUAAAAAUAUAAUUAAAGAAUUCUGCACUUUACAUUAACAUAAGCCACUUAACCCCACAAUUUCUUAACGUUUUCACCAUCAUUGUAAGGCCCUGUUUUUUUGUUGCUUUGACAAAGUCAUUUCAGAAGAGUAUUAUUGAGUUUAUGUGAUUAGUGAUUCAUUUAUAUCUGUCCCUCAUUUAAAGGUCAACCCUGUUAGUGAACAGAACUCUCUCUUUAAUAUGUUGAAACUAUUCCUUCUAAAGAAACAUUUUAAUAGUCAAAUCAUAGUAUGAAAGCAGGUGAGCUGGUUCUACUCUUUUUGACCAUUAUCUGGUGUUUUGUGAUGGAAAACUGAGCGGGUCGAGCAGAGCACAUCAACCCUGUUGC
RNAcentral lists this long non-coding RNA (697 nucleotides) under Oncorhynchus mykiss (rainbow trout). RNAcentral's name for it is "lncRNA (ENSOMYG00000057048.1)". The record is from RNAcentral. Lineage: Eukaryota; Metazoa; Chordata; Actinopteri; Salmoniformes; Salmonidae.